This 203-nucleotide long non-coding RNA is filed under the name Medicago truncatula (barrel medic). Its description in RNAcentral is "long non-coding RNA (MTRU_LNC003055)". The record is from RNAcentral. Lineage: Eukaryota; Viridiplantae; Streptophyta; Magnoliopsida; Fabales; Fabaceae.
AUAUAUUGGUAUAGAUAUACGGCAGUAUUUUUAACAAAAUUAUUUAAAUUGUCGAUCAUUCUAUUUUCGUUGUUGAUAAUAAGGAUCGUUCUAUAUAUAUUUCUUCUGAUCCAUGUAUAUUUUACAUAGAAGUGCCAGCAACACACAAUUCAACAUAUUUUUUUAUUGAUUAAAGUUCAAGUGAGUUUCACUAAAUCUUGUUA